AGAGUUUGAUCCUGGCUCAGAACGAACGCUGGCGGCGUGCCUAACACAUGCAAGUCGAGCGAGAACGCCUGCUUCGGCAGGUUAGUAAAGCGGCGAACGGGUGAGUAACACGUGAGUCACCUACCCUCCAGUAGGGGAUAACACUUCGAAAGGUGUGCUAAUACCGUGUACGGUCCCGACCGUGUCUUCGGAUGGGACGAAAGGUGGCCUCUCUAUAGAAGCUGCCGCUGGGGGAUGGGCUCGCGCCCCAUUAGCUAGUUGGUAGGGUAACGGCCUACCAAGGCAACGAUGGGUAGCUGGUCUGAGAGGACGAUCAGCCACACUGGAACUGAGACACGGUCCAGACUCCUACGGGAGGCAGCAGUGGGGAAUAUUGCACAAUGGGGGAAACCCUGAUGCAGCAACGCCGCGUGCGGGAUGAAGGCCUUCGGGUCGUAAACCGCUGUCAGGGGGGAAGAAAUCGCUCCGGUGAAUAGCCGGAGUGGAUGACGGUACCCCCAGAGGAAGCCCCGGCUAACUCCGUGCCAGCAGCCGCGGUAAGACGGAGGGGGCGAGCGUUGUUCGGAAUCAUUGGGCGUAAAGCGCGCGUAGGCGGUCGAGUAAGUCGGACGUGAAAGCCCAGGGCUCAACCCUGGAAGUGCGUUCGAUA
RNAcentral lists this ribosomal RNA (649 nucleotides) under uncultured bacterium. Its description in RNAcentral is "bacterial SSU rRNA". It matches the Rfam family "Bacterial small subunit ribosomal RNA", at positions 8 to 632 of the family's 1533-position model. The record is from RNAcentral.